GUUCCUGCACUUCACUGCCACAUUCCAUCAAUCCGUGCCAUUUAAAACAGAAAUAACUACUGUUUAUCCCGUUAAUGACGAUAAAUAGUUAUAAAUAUGUAUAUUUUUAGUAACGCCCGGUAGGUAAAUUGAACUUCCGUCCCCUAUAUUUCCGSUUUAAUUUGCCCUGCUGUCAAUCAUCAACAGACGGACGCUCUCAGCGCCUUACCUAGCGAUAAUUAAGUGUUGAGGGACUGUGUAUAAAAGAUGGAGCSGCUCUUUCUCGGCUCCUCGGAGCUCAGAAAAGAAAUACAGGUUAUUGUUUUGUCAGGCGGAGCUCAGGUGUUUUAUUGGAGCUUCACUUCCUGCAGAUGUUCGCAGCUCAGAGGCGCUGAUUGGAACAGGCUGUCGGCCAUCACAGAGCAACAGAUGGAGGUGCACAACAGGAUAUUACCACUAAGAGGAUUCCUGUUUCUUYGCCUGUCGCCACAGACUUUUUUGCAUGGACAGAGUCUUUCAUCGUGACCCAGCUCGGCUGGCUUACUGGAACCGACGUAGAGUUGUUGGUUAAGCCCUGUGAAACUCGCCAGGAUGCAUGUUGACCCGCUUGGCAAACAGACAACCCCUGAUGGAGUACACCGUGAAUAACAUUAAAUUAAUUCACCAGGUGUGAUUAGAAAGUCCUGGCAAAACCUUGAGGCUUUUUUUUUACUACAAACUUUCACUCCGAGCUUAAAGGCAGUUGCAGAGGGCAGAAUAAGUAAGGAGGACCGAAACGACAUUAAAAAGAACUUUACCUGAUGUUUUAUAAUUUAGCCUUCAUGUUUUUCCAGCUUACUUCUAAUAAAUUAUGUAUUUUAGAACAUAAUUUACACUUUACUGUUUUUAAAUAUAUAAUUUCUUUUUUACUUGUGAAUGCAUUUGUGUUUCAUAACUGAUUAUAUAUUUAAUUUUUUAAAUAAAUUUUCCCACAAGUCUUAA
Molecule: long non-coding RNA, 960 nt
Organism: Austrofundulus limnaeus
Lineage: Eukaryota; Metazoa; Chordata; Actinopteri; Cyprinodontiformes; Rivulidae
Exons: 3
Source: RefSeq, a predicted model, not a curated record